CGGACGGGUGAGUAACACGUGGAUAACCUACCUAUAAGACUGGGAUAACUUCGGGAAACCGGAGCUAAUACCGGAUAAUAUAUUGAACCGCAUGGUUCAAUAGUGAAAGACGGUUUUGCUGUCACUUAUAGAUGGAUCCGCGCUGCAUUAGCUAGUUGGUAAGGUAACGGCUUACCAAGGCAACGAUGCGUAGCCGACCUGAGAGGGUGAUCGGCCACACUGGAACUGAGACACGGUCCAGACUCCUACGGGAGGCAGCAGGC
This 263-nucleotide ribosomal RNA is filed under the name uncultured Staphylococcus sp. RNAcentral's name for it is "partial 16S ribosomal RNA". It matches the Rfam family "Bacterial small subunit ribosomal RNA", at positions 99 to 354 of the family's 1533-position model. Lineage: Bacteria; Bacillati; Bacillota; Bacilli; Caryophanales; Staphylococcaceae. The record is from RNAcentral.